RNAcentral lists this ribosomal RNA (253 nucleotides) under uncultured bacterium. RNAcentral's name for it is "partial 16S ribosomal RNA". It matches the Rfam family "Bacterial small subunit ribosomal RNA", at positions 524 to 776 of the family's 1533-position model. The record is from RNAcentral.
UACGAAGGUGUCUAGCGUUGUUCGGAAUUACUGGGCGUAAAGCGCGCGUAGGCGGCUUUUCAAGUCAGAGGUGAAAGCCUGGAGCUUAACUCCAGAACUGCCUUUGAAACUGUUGAGCUGGAGUAUUGGAGAGGAGUGGGGAAUACCUAAUGUAGCGGUGAAAUGCGUAGAUAUUAGGUGGAACACCGAUGGCGAAGGCACCACUCUGGACAAUAACUGACGCUGAGGCGCGAAAGCGUGGGGAUCAAACAGG